Molecule: unclassified non-coding RNA, 1869 nt
Filed under: Leptinotarsa decemlineata (Colorado potato beetle)
Lineage: Eukaryota; Metazoa; Arthropoda; Insecta; Coleoptera; Chrysomelidae
Description: aTP-dependent RNA helicase dbp2-like, transcript variant X1
Source: RNAcentral
UUACUUUCUUCUGUCAAUCGUGUUAAGGGGGGGAGAACAACUGUCUAAUCUAAUUAAUCAAAUUGUAGGUGAAAAUUUUAAUGGCUGCUCUGAUUUCAUAUACUUAAUAAUCAUCAAGUAUGUUUACGUGAAUAUUUCAAGUUGAAGUGAGAAUUAUUGAAAAUUUUGAUAACUGCUUCUCGUAAUCACCAGAUUACUACCAACAAAUUUAUCUCAAAGUGAAGUGAAUUGUUUAGUACCAAAGUAUCGGCCGCUAUUUUAGUAAAAUGAGAGGACGUUCUGGAAGAAGAUCAAGAAGCAGAGAUCGCAGGAGAUCUCGUAGUCGUGACAGAGGUUAUGGCGGGGGAGGUGGCAGGAGAAAUGCCACCGGUUCAAAUCUACGUAAACCUAGAUGGGACCUGAGUCGGUUAGAACCAUUCAAAAAAGAUUUUUACGUACCUCACCCAUCCGUUUCUAACCGUUCAUUGCAAGAAAUUAACGAAUGGAGACAGAGCAAAGAGAUUUCUCUGAAAGGAAAAAAUAUACCUGACCCUGUAUUUUCUUUUGAGGAGGCUGGUUUUCCGGACUAUGUAAUGAACGAACUGAAAAAAAUGAAUUUCAAAAAUCCCACUGCCAUUCAGGCUCAAGGUUGGCCUAUUGCUUUGUCGGGACGUGAUAUGGUGGGAAUCGCUUCAACUGGAUCUGGUAAAACUCUGAGUUAUAUUUUACCUGCCACUGUUCACAUCAAUAAUCAGUCAAGGCUGUUGCGUGGAGAUGGUCCUAUAGUUCUGAUCCUGGCCCCAACAAGAGAAUUAGCCCAACAAAUCCAGCAGGUUGCCUCUGAUUUCGGUCAGACUUCAAAAAUACGUAGUACAUGCGUAUUCGGUGGUGCACCCAAGGGUCCACAAGUGAAUGACCUAAUGGACGGAGUAGAAAUAGUUAUUGCGACUCCAGGCCGUCUCAUAGAUUUCUUAGAAACCAAUAGGACAAAUCUGAAGAGGUGCACUUAUUUAGUUCUUGACGAGGCAGACAGAAUGCUUGAUAUGGGUUUUGAACCUCAAAUCAGAAAAAUUAUCGAACAGAUCCGACCGGACAGACAAACCUUGAUGUGGUCUGCUACUUGGCCAAAAGAAGUACAAAAUUUAGCUCAGGAAUUCUUGAAGGAUUACAUUCAGAUCAAUGUCGGGUCGCUGCAGUUGUCUGCCAACCACAAUAUUUUACAGAUUAUCGACGUUUGCCAAGAAAGCGAAAAGGAAACCAAAUUGAGUACUCUUUUGAAGGAGAUUAUGGCCGAAAAGGAAAACAAAACAAUCAUUUUUAUCGAGACCAAAAGGAAAGUCGAUGAAAUCACUAGAAAAAUGAAGCGAGAUGGUUGGCCAGCGGUCUGUAUUCACGGAGAUAAAACUCAACAAGAGCGAGACGGGGUACUACAAGAUUUUAGGACCGGAAAAGCUCCUAUUCUCGUUGCCACAGACGUAGCCGCAAGAGGUUUAGAGGCACUAGCAAGUUAAUGACAGAAACUUGUCAUUGUGGCUGUGCCUCUCUCUGUCUCUCUAUCGGACGACGAUCAGUGUGCUCGGCUAAAGAAGGCCUCGUUGAAGUCUGUGGUCUCGAACUGCUGGCUAUAACCUGGCCUGGCUAUAGGUGGGCCCCACCCGAUAAAAGGCUGCCCCAUGCCGCAGUCAGAUUUGGACUGGCUUGGCUGCGGGCCGCUCAUUGCCUCACACACAAACACUGGGUCAUGAACUAAGCCGACUAGAGGGCUCAGUGCGCAGUGCUGUUUUCCGUUAGAUGAUGCAAUUCUUGAUGUUGAGGAUGUGAAAUUUGUGAUCAAUUUUGAUUACCCAUCCAACUCUGAAGACUAUGUCCAUCGGAUCGGUCGUACUGGCC